This 468-nucleotide ribosomal RNA is filed under the name uncultured bacterium. RNAcentral's name for it is "partial 16S ribosomal RNA". It matches the Rfam family "Bacterial small subunit ribosomal RNA", at positions 28 to 507 of the family's 1533-position model. The record is from RNAcentral.
GACGAACGCUGGCGGCGUGCUUAACACAUGCAAGUCGAACGGAAAGGCCCUGCUUUUGUGGGGUGCUCGAGUGGCGAACGGGUGAGUAACACGUGAGUAACCUGCCCUUGACUUUGGGAUAACUUCAGGAAACUGGGGCGAAUACCGGAUAGGAGCUCCUGCUGCAGGGGGGGGGUUGGAAAGUUUCGGCGGUUGGGGAUGGACGCGCGGCUUAUCAGCUUGUUGGUGGGGUAGUGGCUUACCACGGCUUUGACGGGUAGCCGGCCUGAGAGGGUGACCGGCCACAUUGGGACUGCGAUACGGCCCAGACUCCUACGGGAGGCAGCAGUGGGGAAUAUUGCACAAUGGGCGGAAGCCUGAUGCAGCAACGCCGCGUGCGGGAUGACGGCCUUCGGGUUGUAAACCGCUUUCGCCUGUGACGAAGCGUGAGUGACGGUAAUGGGUAAAGAAGCACCGGCUAACUACGUG